AAGGGUUCGAGUGAGAGCAUGCCUGUCGGGACCCGAAAGAUGGUGAACUAUGCUUGAGCGGGGCGAAGCCAGAGCAAACUCUGGUGGAGGCCCGCAACGAUACUGACAUGCAAAUCGUUCGUCUGACUUGGGUAUAGCUGGUUCCCUCCGAAGUUUCCCUCAGGAUAGCUGGAGCCCUUAGCGAGUUCUAUCGGGUAAAGCCAAUGA
This 207-nucleotide non-coding RNA is filed under the name Gossypium arboreum. Its description in RNAcentral is "Eukaryotic large subunit ribosomal RNA". It matches the Rfam family "Eukaryotic large subunit ribosomal RNA", at positions 784 to 1020 of the family's 3401-position model. Lineage: Eukaryota; Viridiplantae; Streptophyta; Magnoliopsida; Malvales; Malvaceae. The record is from Rfam by way of RNAcentral.